This 492-nucleotide ribosomal RNA is filed under the name uncultured bacterium. Its description in RNAcentral is "partial 16S ribosomal RNA". It matches the Rfam family "Bacterial small subunit ribosomal RNA", at positions 29 to 507 of the family's 1533-position model. The record is from RNAcentral.
AGUGAACGCUGGCGGUAGGCCUAACACAUGCAAGUCGAACGGCAGCACAGUAAGAGUUUGCUCUUACGGGUGGCGAGUGGCGGACGGGUGAGGAAUACAUCGGACUCUUCUUUUUCGUGGGGGAUAACGUAGGGAAACUUACGCUCAUACCGCAUAUGCUCUACGGGUGAAAGCAGGGGAUCUUCGGACCUUGCGCGAUUGAAUGCGCCGAUGUCGGAUUAGCUAGUUGGCGGGGUAAAGGCCCACCAAGGCGACGAUCCGUAGCUGGUCUGAGAGGAUGAUCAGCCACACGGGAACGUGGACACGGACCAGACUCCUACGGGAGGCAGCAGAGGGGAAUAUUGGACAAAGGUCGCAAGCCUGAUCCAGCCAUACCGCGUGGGUGAAGGAGGCCUUCGGGUUGUAAAGCCCUUUUGUUGGGAAAGAAAAGCAGCAGGUUAAUACCCCGCGGUUCUGACGGUACCCAAUAAAUAAGCACCGGCUAACUUCGUG